AUACAGAGGGUGCAAGCGUUAAUCGGAAUUACUGGGCGUAAAGCGCGCGUAGGCGGCUUGAUAAGUCGGAUGUGAAAUCCCUGGGCUCAACCUGGGAACUGCAUUCGAAACUGUCUGACUAGAGUAUGGUAGAGGGUGGUGGAAUUCCUAGUGUAGCGGUGAAAUGCGUAGAUAUUAGGAGGAACAUCAGUGGCGAAGGCGACCACCUGGACCAAUACUGACGCUGAGGUGCGAAAGCGUGGGGAGCAAACAGGAUUAGAUACCCUAGUAGUCC
Molecule: ribosomal RNA, 274 nt
Filed under: uncultured bacterium
Lineage: Bacteria
Description: partial 16S ribosomal RNA
Rfam family: Bacterial small subunit ribosomal RNA
Source: RNAcentral